This is a non-coding RNA of Alexandromys fortis (reed vole), 71 nucleotides long. The record is from the annotation of a RefSeq genome assembly. NCBI's taxonomy places the organism in Eukaryota, Metazoa, Chordata, Mammalia, Rodentia, Cricetidae.
AGUGGUAUAGAUCAGUGGUAGAUCACCUGGCUAGAAACCAUGAAACCUAGGUUCAAUCCCUAGGACCACCA